UGGACCCCGCGCCGCGUUCUCGCGAGACUGCCGGGCCGCACCACCCACUGGGCGGGCCCGCCGCCACUCAGCUGAUGAGGACUUCCGGCCCCGCCCCGGAAACAGGACGGGGCGUCUGACAAGGUUCCUGGGUUGGUUAACGCCGUGUGUCACCCGCUGAGUUUUCAGAAAGAGAAAGGAGCCCAGCGCCCCGAGGCUCACUUCUAACUGGCUGCGACCGGGGCGGGCUCCUGAGGCUGGCUUGGCCUUCCCUCCUUGGGGCCUGGGACAAGGUUUCUGAACCGCGUUAUUGGUCACCCCGGUGGCCCUGUCCUGCCGGUCUGGCCUGUACCCUGUAGGAUGUUCAGCAGUUCCCUGGUCUCUGCUGUCCCCCUAGAUACCUGCCUCAGCCUCACCAGCCCUGGUUGUGACAACCAAGAGUGUCCCCAGAAGUCCGCUAAAGGACCCUUGGAGGCCUCACGUCCUGUUGAGAACAAGUGACCAGGCUGCACCCUGUCUCGGCCUUGGCAGAGAUGCCAGACCUCCCGUGGUCAGUGGGCUGGCAUCUGGAGGCCCAGCUGUCCUCCCACAAGCCUUUGUGACCCACCAGGCAAAGGUCCCGGAUUCGCAGUGACAGAGUUCUUAGGUGUCUUCUUCCUCACCGUGCCCCUGCAUUUAGGACAGUGCUUGACAUCUCCUGGAGUGGCAGUGUCUUCCAACAGCAGCCCCAGCAAGGCUUUAGUAAUUGAGAUCCACAGCUCCAGGGAUUCAAAUGAAGACAUCUGCAGCAGUCAGGUGUUCACCUACAGGAGGCGUGGGGGAGAAGGAAAAGAAAUAGUGAAAGAAGAUGACCUGCUUCCUCCUAGUGCAACUGGUGCAAGAUGGUUAAAACUUACAGGAAAGAUCAAUAGAGACAAGUACAACGGAGAACUGAAGCACAGAUAUAAAAUACCUCAACCCAUGCCAAUAAAGGGGUUUCCAGUCCAUGAGGGAAAGGAUGAAUUGUUCAUAAAUUCUGUUGGAAAAAGCAACGACAUGGGGAAACAGGCUUCAUAUUUUUUACUGACAAAAUUUACAGAUGGAUAAAUAUUGACGAAACCAGCAAUACAAAAACAUUAGGGGAAAAUUGGCAAAUACGAAAUCUUUGAGAGGGGAUCUUUUUAAAGGCUAAAACAAGUUAGAAGCUAUUUAUUGAAAAAGUUGAUUUGUCUACGUAAAGACUUAAGACAACGUGUAUACAAUGUUUUGGUUCAAAAACAACAUGUAUAAAAAAUAAUCUCAAUUAACUGAAAAAAAACCCCACGUACCUUCAAUACAUAGAACAAAGUUAAUGUCUUUAUUGUAUGAAGCAUUCUUCAGAACUUCAUGGAACUGCAUGCAGCUGAUCCAUGAGAGUGGCACAGAAGCAGCCAGGGCCUUCAGAGCAGAGCUUAAUCCAUGGUGCCUUGGGUUGAGUUGCAGCUGGCUGGCUACACUCAAGGGCCAGAAGUGGGUAUGUGACCUAAGCCUGUCCAAUCAUCAGCGGCUCAUCUGUCAAGCUUCACUGAUUGGUUCAGAGAUGGACAUGUGACCCAAGUUGGUGAGCACAAUAAGCCGUACUCUCUUGGAUGGCUGGGUCUGUGACCUAAGCUGUGUAACCAGCAGCAUCCCAUCUACAGAGCUGCAGGGCCUGCUGCAGGGACGGAAUAUCCAAGUUAGCUAGAGCUAAAGCCAGGAUUGAUUCUGGAAUGUUCAGAAGGGAGAGAUUCAUCUUCUACUGAGAUUAAUGGAAGUUUUGUUAUUGCUGCUGCUGCUGCUGCUACUGCUGAGGUUUUUAUUUUGAGCUUAGUGUUAUAAAGACAAGCCUGGAGUUGUCGGGUCAUUUUGUGAAACAAACCUCCCUACAGUGACUGGAAACACACCUCUCUUCUCUUCGGAGAGCUAUGGCAAAGGUCUACAAAACAAAACAAAAAGAUAGCUUACCAGUCUGGAUUCUAGACAGCCUUAAGUCAUUCUCUCCAGGGUGCUUCAUCAUGAGUUCCUAAAUUCUCUUUUUGAGUGAGCAGAUCUGAUAAUGACUUGUAAUUGAAAAAGUCUUGGCCAAUUCAAGGAGUACUGUACAUGCAUGUGCAUACACAAACAGAAAAGAAAAUGGUAUAUGUGCUUUUAUGAAACAAAGUACACCAGUAAUUUUAUUUGUUUGUUUGUUUGUUUAUUUAUUUAUUUGGAUAAAGGGACUUGCUAUGUAGCCCAGGCUAGCCUCAAACUCAUAGCAAUCCUCCUGACUCAGCC
Molecule: long non-coding RNA, 2250 nt
Organism: Fukomys damarensis (Damara mole-rat)
Lineage: Eukaryota; Metazoa; Chordata; Mammalia; Rodentia; Bathyergidae
Source: Ensembl